Saccostrea cuccullata (small rock oyster) is the source of this 385-nucleotide long non-coding RNA. RefSeq lists it as uncharacterized. The transcript is spliced from 3 exons. NCBI's taxonomy places the organism in Eukaryota, Metazoa, Mollusca, Bivalvia, Ostreida, Ostreidae. The record is from RefSeq and is a predicted model, not a curated record.
UGUUUAUAUUCUUCCUGGGGAAAUGCUUUCAACAAAAGCGAAAACAAAAGAAAUCGUCUGCAGAGAAUUUCGUCGAUAUUCCUCCUUACGACGUCAAUCUACAUAGAAUGCCUUCUUCGACCAAUAUACUUCAUGAUGCAAUCUCUGAUGAAACACCAGUUGAUGAAUAUGCAACCAUAAAAACGGAAGAAGAAACUAGAUGACGUCAUAACGAGGAUGAGCUUGAUGACGGAGAGUAUCAUACACUUACUCUCCGUGUAACAGGAUACGAGGAACCAAUCAAGAAGAAACGCCUCGUUAGAAGAUACUCCGACUCCUCUUCAACGUAUAUGAAAAGUUCUGCAUGCAAUUUAGUUCGAUCUAAAGACAAUUAUGACCUGUCUUA